Molecule: ribosomal RNA, 320 nt
Filed under: uncultured eukaryote
Lineage: Eukaryota
Description: partial 18S ribosomal RNA
Rfam family: Eukaryotic small subunit ribosomal RNA
Source: RNAcentral
CCCCUAGAUGUUCUGGGCCGCACGCGCGCUACACUGAACAGUUCAACAAGUCUUAACCUUGGCCGAUAGGUCUGGGUAAUCUUUGAACGCUGUUCGUGAUUGGGAUAGACCUUUGCAAUUAUGGGUCUUCAACGAGGAAUUCCUAGUAAACGCAAGUCAUCAGCUUGCAUUGAUUACGUCCCUGCCCUUUGUACACACCGCCCGUCGCACCUACCGAUUGAAUGGUCCGGUGAAAUCUCGGGACGGCGGCUUGGUCGCUUGCGUCCGACUGCUGAAACUUGAUUAAACCAUAUCAUUUANAGGAAGGUGAAGUCGUAACA